RNAcentral lists this ribosomal RNA (439 nucleotides) under uncultured bacterium. RNAcentral describes it as "partial 16S ribosomal RNA". It matches the Rfam family "Bacterial small subunit ribosomal RNA", at positions 338 to 795 of the family's 1533-position model. The record is from RNAcentral.
CCUACGGGUGGCAGCAGUAAGGGAUAUUGGUCAAUGGGGGAAACCCUGAACCAGCAACGCCGCGUGAGGGAAGACGGGUUUCGGAUUGUAAACCUCUGUCCUCGGGGAAGAUGAUGACGGUAGCAGAGGAGGAAGCUCCGGCUAACUACGUGCCAGCAGCCGCGGUAAUACGUAGGGAGCGAGCGUUGUCCGGAUUUACUGGGUGUAAAGGGAGCGUAGGCGGGAUGGCAAGUUGGGUGUUAAAUCUACCGGCUCAACUGGUAGUCGCACUCCAAACUGCUAUUCUUGAGUGAAGUAGAGGCAGGCGGAAUUCCUAGUGUAGCGGUGAAAUGCGUAGAUAUUAGGAGGAACACCAGUGGCGAAGGCGGCCUGCUGGGCUUUUACUGACGCUGAGGCUCGAAAGUGUGGGGAGCAAACAGGAUUGGAUACCCCUGUAGUC